RNAcentral lists this unclassified non-coding RNA (328 nucleotides) under soil metagenome. RNAcentral describes it as "partial contains 5.8S ribosomal RNA, internal transcribed spacer 2, and large subunit ribosomal RNA". The stretch from base 1 to 120 matches the Rfam family "5.8S ribosomal RNA", at positions 35 to 154 of the family's 154-position model. The record is from RNAcentral.
GAUGAAGAACGUAGCGAAAUGCGAUAAGUAGUGUGAAUUGCAGAAUUCAGUGAAUCAUCGAAUCUUUGAACGCACAUUGCGCCCCUUGGUAUUCCGAGGGGCAUGCCUGUUCGAGCGUCAUUAUAACCCUCAAGCUCAGCUUGGUGUUGGGGCCUGCUGCAGUGGCAGCCCUUAAAAUCAGUGGCGGCGCCAUCUGGCUCUAAGCGUAGUAAUUCUUCUCGCUAUGGAGUCCUGGUGGAUGCUUGCCAUCAACCCCCAAUUUUUCUAUGGUUGACCUCGGAUCAGGUAGGGAUACCCGCUGAACUUAAGCAUAUCAAUAAGCGGAGGA